RNAcentral lists this transfer RNA (73 nucleotides) under Bos taurus (domestic cattle). Its description in RNAcentral is "tRNA-Trp (CCA) (tRNA-Trp-CCA-32-1)". It matches the Rfam family "tRNA". Rfam says of the family: Transfer RNA (tRNA) molecules are approximately 80 nucleotides in length. Their secondary structure includes four short double-helical elements and three loops (D, anti-codon, and T loops). Further hydrogen bonds mediate the characteristic L-shaped molecular structure. tRNAs have two regions of fundamental functional importance: the anti-codon, which is responsible for specific mRNA codon recognition, and the 3' end, to which the tRNAs corresponding amino acid is attached (by aminoacyl-tRNA synthetases). tRNAs cope with the degeneracy of the genetic code in two manners: having more than one tRNA (with a specific anti-codon) for a particular amino acid; and 'wobble' base-pairing, i.e. permitting non-standard base-pairing at the 3rd anti-codon position. The record is from RNAcentral. Lineage: Eukaryota; Metazoa; Chordata; Mammalia; Artiodactyla; Bovidae.
UCCCUGGUGGCUCAGAGGUUAAAGCAUCUGCCUCCAAUGCAGAAGACCCAGGUUCAAUCCCUGAGUCAGGAAG